Molecule: long non-coding RNA, 1712 nt
Organism: Manis pentadactyla (Chinese pangolin)
Lineage: Eukaryota; Metazoa; Chordata; Mammalia; Pholidota; Manidae
Exons: 2
Source: RefSeq, a predicted model, not a curated record
GGGCGCUGGCUGGCGACGGCCACCAUGGCACCUAGCACCACACCACGCAGCCAGAGGUGCGCAGACCAUCAGUUCACACUGGCAGUUCAGCCUCACAACAGCCCCUGCCUGGACAUUUCCAGGCAUCUGCCCACAGCCUGCCGGGAAAGCACCAUCUGACUUUGGCAGAAUCAAGUGUUGGGGCUCCCCAAGACCCCCACAUUCUGUGACUUGCUAGGAGGGUGCACAGCUGAGUUCAUCACAGCAGGAGGUUUCAGAGUAAGAUCAGACCCAGGGGCGGUGUGGGGAAGCCAGUGCCAGCUCCCAAGGGUCCUCUCCACAAAGUCAGGUGGACAUGGCACGUACGCAGUGGUGUCUACCAGGGGGGCUCCUGAGACAGCACCCGGGUCCUGCCCAGCAUGUGGGGUUCCCGCCUCCCGGAAGGAAAGCGGGUGUUGUGCAUAGGCCUGGCUGUGCAGGUGCAACAAGCCCUCAGCUGGGAGCUGGUGGCUGGGAUGCCCAAGAGCCUGUUCCCCCUGUCAGCCUGGCAGGCGGGCCUUUCCGGGGCUGGAAGCCUUAGGCCCACUUUACAUGCUCCGAAAACAUCUUAAAAAGCUCAAGGAGGAACUGACGGCAGCUCGCAUCAAAUUCACCCUGCGUUUCUGCUCUGCUCAGGUUUUUUAUUACUGCAUCUGUGAUUCUGUGCUCAUUGUAGAAAAAUCAGGAAGUGCAGAGAAAAAUUGACCCACCAUCACAGGCUGCCUGUCGUUGUCGGGGGCGGGGGAGCCUCCAGCCAGGCCUCUGACUGUCGCACACAUCGUCUUUCCCCACCCCGGGGCCUCCCAUGCAGCCCUGCAGACACUGCUCUGUUUAGGAAGGUGACGGUGCCUCGGUGGACCCCUCAGUCUUCCAUGGGUUCCUGUGCUCAGCCUUGGGCUCCCGUCAGUGAUUCGAGUCUGGGGGAUCUGACGCAGCCUGCUCCAGCCUCUCACAGACUGACUGCCAGGGUGGGUGUGUGAGAAGCCCCUGGGUGGUGGCAGGUGGCACACUGGAAAUGUCCAGAAGGCGAGGGGUAGUGGAGCCCUCCGCAGGGCAUGGUGGAACAUACAGGUCCCAGACACACCCGUGAGAGGCAGCAGGCUUUGCUCUUGGGUCUGCACUGGGCAGGAGGGGCACCCCCUGUGUGAGCUGUGCAGGCUGUUUAGCCUGGGGGAUUAGCGGCGUCUUGUCCUGUAUGGAACCUGGUGUAGACACUUAACACUGCUCGGCCAGGUGGGGGCGGCCUCAGCAUCGCCACAGCAGAGAGGAGCGCCCUGGAGGAAGGGAGGGCCGCAGGGAAGAGGGGCCCCGCGGGCCAGGAGGGGUGCCCACAGCAGCACAAAGCCCAGGAAGUGGGGCAGGCACGCGUCCAUGAGGCUGGAGGCCUGGGUGCAGGUGGCCUGCAGUCUGGCAGUGCCUGGUUGGGAGCCCAGGGGCUGCUGGACGCCACUGUACGGCGGUGCCUGGGUGGUAAAAGGAGACUUGUCUAGGACCCCGCCGUGCAGAACCAUGGCUCCCCGGGUCCCCCCAUGGCUUGGCCAGUGCUUUAGGUGAGCUGUGCAGGCCGGAGGAAGUCCUGUCCCAGCACGUGGGGCAGCUGUGGACCGAUGAGGUGCAGGAGGGCAGCCAUCCCUGGCCCUUUGUUAGGUUUUUACUGUGUGUAAAUACAGGAAAUAAAGUCAAAUUGUAAACGA